AUUGAACGCUGGCGGCAUGCUUUACACAUGCAAGUCGAACGGCAGCGCGGGCUUCGGCCUGGCGGCGAGCGGCGGAGGGGUGAGUAAUACAUCGGAACGUGCCCAGUAGUGGGGGAUAGCUGGGCGAAAGCCGGAUUAAUACCGCAUACGACCUGAGGGUGAAAGGGGGGGAUCUUCGGACCUCGCGCUAUUGGAGCGGCCGAUGGCAGAUUAGCUAGUUGGUGGGGUAAAGGCCUACCAAGGCGACGAUCUGUCGCUGGUCUGAGAGGAUGACCAGCCACACUGGGACUGAGACACGGCCCAGACUCCUACGGGAGGCAGCAGUGGGGAAUUUUGGACAAUGGGCGAAAGCCUGAUCCAGCAAUGCCGCGUGUGUGAUGAAGGCCUUCGGGUUGUAAAGCACUUUUGGCGGGAACGAAAAGGACUGUGCCAAUACCACGGUUCGAUGACGGUACCCGCAGAAUAAGCACCGGCUAGCUACGUG
This 484-nucleotide ribosomal RNA is filed under the name uncultured bacterium. RNAcentral describes it as "partial 16S ribosomal RNA". It matches the Rfam family "Bacterial small subunit ribosomal RNA", at positions 29 to 507 of the family's 1533-position model. The record is from RNAcentral.